UACGGAGGGUGCAAGCGUUAUCCGGAUUCACUGGGCUUAAAGGGUGCGUAGGCGGGCAGAUAAGUCAGUGGUGAAAUACCUGAGCUUAACUUGGGAACUGCCAUUGAUACUAUUUGUCUUGAAUGUUGUGGAGGUUAGCGGAAUAUGUCAUGUAGCGGUGAAAUGCUUAGAGAUGACAUAGAACACCUAUUGCGAAGGCAGCUAACUACGCAAAUAUUGACGCUGAGGCACGAAAGCGUGGGGAUCAAACAGG
Molecule: ribosomal RNA, 253 nt
Filed under: uncultured bacterium
Lineage: Bacteria
Description: partial 16S ribosomal RNA
Rfam family: Bacterial small subunit ribosomal RNA
Source: RNAcentral